This 249-nucleotide unclassified non-coding RNA is filed under the name air metagenome. Its description in RNAcentral is "partial contains small subunit ribosomal RNA, internal transcribed spacer 1, and 5.8S ribosomal RNA". The stretch from base 1 to 46 matches the Rfam family "Eukaryotic small subunit ribosomal RNA", at positions 1786 to 1831 of the family's 1831-position model. The record is from RNAcentral.
AAGUCGUAACAAGGUUUCCGUAGGUGAACCUGCGGAAGGAUCAUUAACGAGUUUGACAUGGGUUGAAGCUGGCCUUCCGAGGCAAUGUGCUCGCCCUGCUCAUCCAUCUUACCCCUGUGCACCUUCUGUAGUGGGUAAGGCCUGAAAAGGUCAAGCCAACUACGUUUUUUAUACACACUUCAGUUCAGAAUGUACUUUUGCUAUAAAACGCAUUAAAUACAACUUUCAACAACGGAUCUCUUGGCUCUC